RNAcentral lists this ribosomal RNA (405 nucleotides) under uncultured prokaryote. RNAcentral's name for it is "partial 16S ribosomal RNA". It matches the Rfam family "Bacterial small subunit ribosomal RNA", at positions 355 to 774 of the family's 1533-position model. The record is from RNAcentral.
UGGGGAAUAUUGGGCAAUGGGCGCAAGCCUGACCCAGCAACGCCGCGUGAUUGAAGAAGGUCUUCGGAUUGUAAAAAUCUGUCCUUGGGGACGAAAAAAAUGACGGUACCCAAGGAGGAAGCCCCGGCUAACUACGUGCCAGCAGCCGCGGUAAUACGUAGGGGGCAAGCGUUGUCCGGAAUUACUGGGCGUAAAGGGUGCGUAGGCGGCGCUUUAAGUCAGAUGUGAAAUACUCAGGCUUAACCUGGGGGGUGCAUUUGAAACUGGAGCACUUGAGUGCAGGAGAGGAAAGUGGAAUUCCUAGUGUAGCGGUGAAAUGCGUAGAUAUUAGGAGGAACACCAGUGGCGAAGGCGACUUUCUGGACUGUAACUGACGCUGAGGCACGAAAGCGUGGGGGGCAAACA